UGAAACAACAAUCCUUCCAGACCAUCUUCUCANGGAGCUGUCCAAGAAGUGCCCCCACGCGUCCCCGUUGGAAACCAGCAUCGUGUGAUGCCAGGACAUUCCAUCUGAGCUCAUAAACAUUUCGCAAAGUGUUGGUCAACACCNCGUCCGGAACGCAGGCCGCCGGCUGGACAAGACCCUGCUCUGAUCCUGCGUUAUAAUCUCCACGGAGCAGCUGCUAUUCCGGUUUGNUUCUACAAGGAGGUGGCACUGUUGGGGAAAGAAAGGAAGAUCGUAGAAGACUAGGAGGUCAACUUGGCCAGUUGGCCCGCAAGUUAUUGCUCCAAAAACAUGCGUGGGUGGCCUGUUUGGUGCCUAAGGUGACAAGGCACCUUGGACUGUGCCUCUAAAUCCAAGAUGGCGGCACUCUGCUCUUCCAGAUGUUGGUGAACCACAACUCCUAACCUUCCAAGCCAUUGGCCUAGAGUGGCUGAGACCAAAGGAAGCUCAAUGGUAGCUCAACAUCUGAUUGGCCAGUGUUCAGCCAUUCAUGUCCAACCUGCCCUGACAGAUUUAUUAUGUGGAUCCUUGUUAUUG
This 576-nucleotide long non-coding RNA is filed under the name Salvator merianae (Argentine black and white tegu). RNAcentral's name for it is "lncRNA (ENSSMRG00000003930.1)". Lineage: Eukaryota; Metazoa; Chordata; Lepidosauria; Squamata; Teiidae. The record is from RNAcentral.